AUCGCUAUCCAGCGAACGACUGCCGUGCCCGCCACGACUGGCUGGUCCUAGUCUUUUAGGACCGUCUGUCACGUGCGGUGCCGGCGUCGAUGAGGAAUGC
Molecule: unclassified non-coding RNA, 100 nt
Filed under: Mostuea brunonis
Lineage: Eukaryota; Viridiplantae; Streptophyta; Magnoliopsida; Gentianales; Loganiaceae
Description: partial external transcribed spacer
Source: RNAcentral